AAGCGUUGUUGUUGAUGACAUUCGUCUCGUGGUGAUGCGGUGUCAUGUUGCCUGUGUAUCCUGGUUUUGAGCUAUUUGAGCUUAAAACAUGUGGAUUAUCGGUUAGUGACACGGCAACGCUCCCUUGGUUGAUGAAAGUCAUCCAAUGAUGCUGUGGUUUGUUAGUWUUCUCCUCGCAUCGCUCGGUGCAUUCUGGGGUCAUUUUGGCUGUUGGCAGCUUGCUUGGCAAUUGAGCUUGGUGGGCUGUUACUGGUUGGGUGUCUUCGGGGAUGUCUAUCGUAAAGGUGCAUGAGUGGUGUUUGGUUUGUUACGGGUGGUUGGCUCUUUGCUUGCGCAACAACUUCCACCUGGCAUACCUCUUCAGUCUUGUGUCAAUGCUUGUAUUGCAUUGAAUGCACRGCGGGUUUCUUGUGUUGCAUGCCUAAUUAAUGGUAUCGUUUGAUGAAUUGGUUUUCCUUUUGUCUUGUGUCGCCUAUGCGAUGUGAGAUGAACCUUGAAGCAGCCUUUGUGAUCCACUCUUUUGAUGCAUACGCAUUGAUUUUGUGGCCCAUUGAGUGUUGCUUGGUCUCAUGGAUAUGGAACCUGGUGUGGGCAUGGAAUCCUAAUGGAUCCUUGUUUGCCCAAGUUUAGUUUUUCUAAAACGAUUGUCUAUCA
This 654-nucleotide unclassified non-coding RNA is filed under the name Helichrysum epapposum. Its description in RNAcentral is "partial external transcribed spacer". The record is from RNAcentral. Lineage: Eukaryota; Viridiplantae; Streptophyta; Magnoliopsida; Asterales; Asteraceae.